AGAAUAUAAGAAAGCGUUUCUUAACUUUUAACUAAAAAGAUUAAGAACCGACUCUUAAAUAAGAUAUUUAAGAACCGGUUCUUAAUUUUUUUAAUUAAAAAUUAAGAGACGAUUUUUUAUAUUCC
Brassica napus (rape) is the source of this 125-nucleotide non-coding RNA. The record is from Rfam. Lineage: Eukaryota; Viridiplantae; Streptophyta; Magnoliopsida; Brassicales; Brassicaceae.